AAGGCAGCCAGUAAAUCUGCUUAUCUGAAUGUGUUUCUGCAGAAGUUUGGAAAGAGCUGGCAAUAGCGAUGUCAUUUGAUGAGCUUAAGGACAGCAGGUCAUCACCAUCCUUGAAAAUGGCUGCAAAA
This 128-nucleotide small nucleolar RNA is filed under the name Jaculus jaculus (lesser Egyptian jerboa). Its description in RNAcentral is "Small nucleolar RNA SNORA33 (ENSJJAG00000007501.1)". It matches the Rfam family "Small nucleolar RNA SNORA33". From Rfam's summary of the family: ACA33 is a member of the H/ACA class of snoRNA that guide the sites of modification of uridines to pseudouridines. Lineage: Eukaryota; Metazoa; Chordata; Mammalia; Rodentia; Dipodidae. The record is from Rfam by way of RNAcentral.